CAAAAUGACUCUCGGCAACGGAUAUCUCGGCUCUCGCAUCGAUGAAGAACGUAGCGAAAUGCGAUACUUGGUGUGAAUUGCAGAAUCCAGCGAACCAUCGAGUCUUUGAACGCAAGUUGCGCUCGAAGCCUUCGGGCUAAGGGCACGUCUGCCUGGG
This 157-nucleotide ribosomal RNA is filed under the name Fagonia laevis. Its description in RNAcentral is "5.8 ribosomal RNA". It matches the Rfam family "5.8S ribosomal RNA". From Rfam's summary of the family: 5.8S ribosomal RNA (5.8S rRNA) is a component of the large subunit of the eukaryotic ribosome. It is transcribed by RNA polymerase I as part of the 45S precursor that also contains 18S and 28S rRNA. The record is from RNAcentral. Lineage: Eukaryota; Viridiplantae; Streptophyta; Magnoliopsida; Zygophyllales; Zygophyllaceae.